RNAcentral lists this transfer RNA (72 nucleotides) under Gossypium barbadense (sea-island cotton). It matches the Rfam family "tRNA". Rfam says of the family: Transfer RNA (tRNA) molecules are approximately 80 nucleotides in length. Their secondary structure includes four short double-helical elements and three loops (D, anti-codon, and T loops). Lineage: Eukaryota; Viridiplantae; Streptophyta; Magnoliopsida; Malvales; Malvaceae. The record is from Rfam by way of RNAcentral. RNAcentral also lists the same sequence under 1 other name.
UCCAUUGCUGUCCAGUGGUUAGGAUACUUGGCUUUCACCCAAGAGACCCGGGUUCAAUUCCCGGCAAUGGAA